CGGGUGAGUAACACGCGCGUAAUCUGCCCUGCCUCUGGGACAAGCCCUGGAAACGGGGUCUAAUACCGGAUACUGACCCGCUUGGUCAUCCAAGCGGAUCGAAAGCUCCGGCGGUGCAGGAUGAGCCCGUGGCCUCUCAGCUUGUUGGUGAGGUAAUGGCUCACCAAGGCGACGACGGGUAGCCGGUCUGAGAGGGCGACCGGCCAUACUGGGACUGAGACACGAUCAAUAAAAUUAUUAGGGAGGCAGCAGUGGGGAAUAUUGCACAAUGGGCGAAAGCCUGAUGCAGCGACGCCGCGUGAGGGAUGACGGCCUUCGGGUUGUAAACCUCUUUCAGCAGGGAAGAAGCGAAAGUGACGGUACCUGCAGAAGAAGCGCCGGCUAACUACGUGCCAGCAGCCGCGGUAAUACGUAGGGCGCGAGCGUUGUCCGGAAUUAUUGGGCGUAAAGAGCUCGUAGGCGGCUUGUCACGUCGGUUGUGAAAGCCCGGGGCUUAACCCCGGGUCUGCAGUCGAUACGGGCAGGCUAGAGUUCGGUAGGGGAGAUCGGAAUUCCUGGUGUAGCGGUGAAAUGCGCAGAUAUCAGGAGGAACACCGGUGGCGAAGGCGGAUCUCUGGGCCGAUACUGACGCUGAGGAGCGAAAGCGUGGGGAGCGAACAGGAUUAGAUACCCUGGUAGUCCACGCCGUAAACGGUGGGCACUAGGUGUGGCGACAUUCCACGUCGUCCGUGCCGCAGCUAACGCAUUAAGUGCCCCGCCUGGGGAGUACGGCCGCAAGGAUAAAACUUCAAAGGAAUUGACGGGGGCCCGCA
This 812-nucleotide ribosomal RNA is filed under the name Streptomyces variabilis. RNAcentral describes it as "bacterial SSU rRNA". It matches the Rfam family "Bacterial small subunit ribosomal RNA", at positions 103 to 925 of the family's 1533-position model. Lineage: Bacteria; Bacillati; Actinomycetota; Actinomycetes; Kitasatosporales; Streptomycetaceae. The record is from RNAcentral.